CCUACGGGAGGCAGCAGUGGGGGAUAUUGCACAAUGGGGGGAACCCUGAUCCAGCGACGCCGCGUGAGUGAAGAAGUAUCUCGGUAUGUAAAGCUCUGUCAGCAGGGAAGCAAGUAAUGACGGUACCUGCCCAAGAAGCCCCGGCUAACUACGUGCUAGCAGCCGCGGUAAUACGUAGGGGGCAAGAGUUAUUCGGCAUUACUGGGUGUAAAGGGGGCGUAGACGGUUAAGUAAGUCUGGAGUGAAAGGCCGGGGCCCAACACCGGGACUGCUCUGGAAACUAUUGAACUUGAGUGCAGGAGAGGGAAGCGGAAUUCCUAGUGUAGCGGUGAAAUGCGUAGAUAUUAGGAGGAACACCAGUGGCGAAGGCGGCUUACUGGACUGUAACUGACGUUGAGGCUCGAAAGCGUGGGGAGCAAACAGGAUUAGAUACCCUAGUAGUC
RNAcentral lists this ribosomal RNA (443 nucleotides) under uncultured bacterium. Its description in RNAcentral is "partial 16S ribosomal RNA". It matches the Rfam family "Bacterial small subunit ribosomal RNA", at positions 338 to 795 of the family's 1533-position model. The record is from RNAcentral.